CCAAGCUAGUAAGAGCUUUGCUAAGCGGGAAUUUUGGGUUGAAGCUGCUCUUCUCAUAUUUCACAGAUGGCCUCAAUGAAUGAUUUACUAGGAGAGUAAAAGAUUAGCCAGAUUCCCCCAACUGCAUCUCAAGUCGUAUAAAGCACUGGAUUUUACUGGUGCCUAGGCAAUUCCUAAUUCUUUAGCCUCGUUAGACUGUUUUACAGUGACUAAUUGCCCUGUACUCUCUUCCCCAAGAAUCAGGUGUCUCUUGGUGAGGAACCCACGCUCCCUGCACAAGCCUCACCAGUGGCUUCGAAACAGCCGUGCCAGUGAAGGCUUCUCUAUAUGGUCAGGAACCCAAAGACUACAAGAUGUUACAUCUCUAGUUGUAUUUUAUUGGAGAGAUGCACCGAAUGGAUGCCUGGGAUCCUGACAUCUUACUCUGAAAAGGAAUCGGGGCUGUGACUCCAGCCUUUCACUGUGUAUCCCGCCGUGGUUGCGUGUUUGGAAGUCUGUGGCAAUGGAUCCCGUCUGAGCGUGGCCAGGACCGCAGCAGCCCCAGCUCGCUCACCGGCACAAGGGUGAUUGCUCAGCAGCAGAGACGGGCAAGGAAAGAAAAUCUGGCUGGUUGUUAAUUUGAAAGCAUUUACAGUGGUGAUGGCAUAAUAGAUAUGAAAGUUCACAGGACUCUGGCAACUACUAAUGUAUUGAGACUUUCAGAUGAAAAAAUGAAAGCUGCCUGUAAAGGAUUCCCAUUUGUCAUGAAAACCCCACAAUACCACGGGACAGCUGUUUGCCUGGGAUCUGUAUCUCAGACUUAAGGAACCAGAACAGACAUGUGCUCUGUUGUACAAAGACCAUAACACCAGAGACAGAGCAGCUCUGGAGCAGCUGUUAGCUACAGGCUUUCCGCAGGCUGAGGUCUCUGGGUCAGAAACACGCUACCUUCCACCAGCGCGUCCCCCGGAACUGCUCCCCAUAUCGGUGAUCUGUCUUCAGGCAAGGUGAGUUCCAGGUUUCAAAGUGCUUUAGCUCAGUUUGUGACUCAGAGGCUGAGGUCAACUCAACCGCUUGCUGCUCCUGCAGGAGAGAGCCAUCAUGUCUGGAGACUCAGCACUGUCCCCUGUCACAUCUCAGCUGAAAAUAAUGCCGGCUUUGUUGCAAGGAGCUAUGCUUGGCUGCUGCAUGCUCACCGCCAAGUUGCAUAAGCCGCUGCUCCUGUGCAUUUAAACACAGGCACCUUGUUUUCUUUAAGGUGGUGCAAGGUCUUCCUUUUCCGACAUCUUCAGGUGUGAAUUCAUGUAAGUGCAACCCACGGCUUGUAGAGCGCCCAUGGCAGGCUGAGACACCAGGGCUGAAAGAGGACAAUCUUGACUUUGUUGUUGCUAAAGACAGAGAUUAUUUUUAAUGUAAAAGUUAUUGUCUCAGGCAGCCUUCAUCUCACCAGUGCACAAUUGCAGAAUGCUUUGAAUUAAGUUUGGAGGCUAAAAGUGUGUUAGUCAUUGCCCAUACAUCUUAAGGGAAGCAGGGCUCUCUAAAGUUAUUGUUAGCAUCAGGCAUCUGGUUUAUGUUUAUAAUGAUUUAUUCAAUGAUGGGAGACAGGUAACGAACCAUCAUGGAAGACAAACUAGAAAAGACUGGGGUUUUCUAAGCACUGAAGCCAUUGUUAAAUCAAAGUUGUCUGACUUCAGAAGGAAUAUAUAACUUGAUUAGGUUCUUUAAACAACGUACAAUGCUCAUGAAGUUGGCAGAUAUCAUGAGAGGCAGAGUUGGUAGCACAGCCUGCUCUGGAGGUUGCU
Molecule: long non-coding RNA, 1781 nt
Organism: Grus americana (Whooping crane)
Lineage: Eukaryota; Metazoa; Chordata; Aves; Gruiformes; Gruidae
Exons: 5
Source: RefSeq, a predicted model, not a curated record